GAUGAACGCUGGCGGCGUGCCUAAUACAUGCAAGUCGAGCGAACAGAUAAGGAGCUUGCUCCUUUGACGUUAGCGGCGGACGGGUGAGUAACACGUGGAUAACCUACCUAUAAGACUGGGAUAACUUCGGGAAACCGGAGCUAAUACCGGAUAACAUAUUGAACCGCAUGGUUCACUAGUGAAAGGCGGCUUUGCUGUCACUUAUAGAUGGAUCCGCGCCGUAUUAGCUAGUUGGUAAGGUAACGGCUUACCAAGGCAACGAUACGUAGCCGACCUGAGAGGGUGAUCGGCCACACUGGAACUGAGACACGGUCCAGACUCCUACGGGAGGCAGCAGUAGGGAAUCUUCCGCAAAGGGCGAAAGCCUGACGGAGCAACGCCGCGUGAGUGAUGAAGGUCUUCGGAUCGUAAAACUCUGUUAUCAGGGAAGAACAAAUGUGUAAGUAACUGUGCACAUCUUGACGGUACCUGAUCAGAAAGCCACGGCUAACUACGUG
This 497-nucleotide ribosomal RNA is filed under the name uncultured bacterium. RNAcentral describes it as "partial 16S ribosomal RNA". It matches the Rfam family "Bacterial small subunit ribosomal RNA", at positions 28 to 507 of the family's 1533-position model. The record is from RNAcentral.